This 184-nucleotide unclassified non-coding RNA is filed under the name uncultured fungus. Its description in RNAcentral is "sequence contains ITS1, 5.8S rRNA gene". Lineage: Eukaryota; Fungi. RNAcentral also lists the same sequence under 1 other name. The record is from RNAcentral.
AAGAAUUACCGGCGAGGGUUGUAGCUGGCCUUUCGGGGCACGUGCACGCCCGAGCCUAUAAUCCACAUACACCUGUGAACUUAAUGUAAGGGCCCGUAAAAGGGUCCCUUACGUCUCCAUAGACGCAUGUUUAAUAGAAUGUAAAAUCGCAUCCUUGCCUUAAAAAGCAUGGAUAAACUUUAUA